RNAcentral lists this small RNA (152 nucleotides) under Rhizobium sp. Kim5. RNAcentral describes it as "miscellaneous other RNA". The record is from RNAcentral. Lineage: Bacteria; Pseudomonadati; Pseudomonadota; Alphaproteobacteria; Hyphomicrobiales; Rhizobiaceae.
CUCCUCAGCUUGUUUCACCGUCCAGCAACCUGCAACAGAAGAUGCCGAUGAGCGCUGCGAGGAUGAAGAAAUCGAACAGCGUCAGAUAUUCGAAAAUCGCAGACAUGGCCUGCUCCUCCCAUUUCCUCCGCUGCAAAUCAUACCAUGAAGGG